This 256-nucleotide unclassified non-coding RNA is filed under the name Hevea brasiliensis (rubber tree). Lineage: Eukaryota; Viridiplantae; Streptophyta; Magnoliopsida; Malpighiales; Euphorbiaceae. The record is from RNAcentral.
UUCUUUUUUUUUUUGUUAAUUAUUCUACUGGUAUAGUUUUUCUCAUCACCUUAUCUCUCCUCCUUCCAUCUUUAUAAAGUCCCAUACACGAAACCAUGAGAAAAAAUAUUUCCCUGUGGGGAUUCUGAGGGAAGUUAUGGUCUUGGGCUUGUGUGUUCUUACUCAAACCAUAGGUCUCAUCUUGGCAGCUUACAUCCAUGGAAGCAGAUAGGCAGAAGCUCUGUGACAAUCUUGUUGGUUCUAAAUUCUUUCUUUC